AUCCAGCUGACGAGUCCUAAACAGGACGAAACACGCGUCCUGAU
This 44-nucleotide non-coding RNA is filed under the name Schistosoma margrebowiei. Lineage: Eukaryota; Metazoa; Platyhelminthes; Trematoda; Strigeidida; Schistosomatidae. The record is from RNAcentral.